UUAUACAGCGAAACUGCGAAUGGCUCAUUAUAUAAGUUAUCGUUUAUUUGAUAGUACUUUACUACUUGGAUAACCGUGGUAAUUCUAGAGCUAAUACAUGCUAAAAAUCCCGACUUCGGAAGGGAUGUAUUUAUUAGAUUAAAAACCAAUGCCCUUCGGGGCUGACUGGUGAUUCAUGAUAACUCCUCGAAUCGCAUGGCCUUGCGCCGGCGAUGGUUCAUUCAAAUUUCUUCCCUAUCAACUUUCGAUGUUUGGGUAUU
RNAcentral lists this ribosomal RNA (260 nucleotides) under Fusarium sp. Its description in RNAcentral is "partial 18S ribosomal RNA". It matches the Rfam family "Eukaryotic small subunit ribosomal RNA", at positions 74 to 337 of the family's 1831-position model. The record is from RNAcentral. Lineage: Eukaryota; Fungi; Ascomycota; Sordariomycetes; Hypocreales; Nectriaceae.